UGGGGAAUAUUGCACAAUGGAGGGAACUCUGAUGCAGCGACGCCGCGUGAACGAAGAAGGCUUUCGAGUCGUAAAGUUCUUUUCUAUGGGAAGAUAAUGACGGUACCAUAAGAAAAAGCCCCGGCUAACUACGUGCCAGCAGCCGCGGUAAUACGUAGGGGGCUAGCGUUGUCCGGAAUCACUGGGCGUAAAGGGUUCGCAGGCGGAAAUGCAAGUGAGGUGUAAAAGGCAGUAGCUUAACUACUGUAAGCAUUUGAAACUGCAUAUCUUGAGAAGAGUAGAGGUAAGUGGAAUUUUUAGGGUAGCUGUGAAAUGCGUAGAUAUUAAAAAGAAUACCGGUGGCGAAGGCGGCUUACUGGGCUCAUUCUGACGCUGAGGAACGAAAGCGUGGGUAGCAAACAGG
This 403-nucleotide ribosomal RNA is filed under the name bacterium. RNAcentral describes it as "partial 16S ribosomal RNA". It matches the Rfam family "Bacterial small subunit ribosomal RNA", at positions 355 to 776 of the family's 1533-position model. The record is from RNAcentral.